Molecule: long non-coding RNA, 521 nt
Filed under: Homo sapiens (human)
Lineage: Eukaryota; Metazoa; Chordata; Mammalia; Primates; Hominidae
Description: non-protein coding LINC01481:12
Source: RNAcentral
GCUCCGGCUUCCCUCCAGGCGGCAGCGGAAGGUGGGAGCGACGACUGCAAAACGGCAGCGAUGGGGGAGGCUUGCUGCUCCUCCGCGGCCGUUACAGAGAGCGGGGCUUCUGCGGCCGCUACCGUUUCCCUGGGGCUAGGUUGCUUCGCAGAAGGCUCUGGCCCUGAGUCCGAGGGGGACUGCGGGGUCCAGGGGCGAUGAAUGCUCCCGCAACCUCCGGAGCUUGUGCGCGUACUUCAGGGACCGGCACCACGUCACCGUCACCUCCUGAGUAGUGAGUUCCCCUCUGAUGAAACCACUGUCUGAAAAUUCAAAAGAGAAGCAAUUUAAAGGACUUCCAUUUACUUCUUUCCCCUCUAAUCUGCACAAAAGGUUAAAUGUAGCAGUGCAGCAGUUCUGGCCAUCAAAAUAUGAUUAUUGUACUUUAAAAGCAGCCAUGAGAACUCUGCUCUUUGAUAGACUUCAACUUGCAACAACUAAGGAAUAAUCCAGUUCCAGAGGAGAUUAGGAGUUGGGUGAGA